UAGGGAAUCUUCGGCAAUGGGGGGAACCCUGACCGAGCAACGCCGCGCGAGUGAAGAAGGUUUUCGGAUCGUAAAGCUCUGUUGUUACGGAAGAACGAGUGUGAGAAUGGAAAGUUCAUACUGUGACGGUACUUAACCAGAAAGGGACGGCUAACUACGUGCCAGCAGCCGCGGUAAUACGUAGGUCCCGAGCGUUGUUCAGUUUUAGUGGGCGUAAAGCGAGCGCAGGCGGUUAGAUAAGUUUGAAGUUAAAGGCGGUGGCUCGACCAUUGUAGGCUUUGGAAAACGUUUAACUUGAGUGCAAAAGGGGGGAGUGGAAUUCCAUGUUUAGCGGUGAAAUGCGUAAUUAUAUGGAGGAACACCGGUGGCGAAAGCGGCUCUCUAGUCUGUAACUGACGCUGAGGCUCGAAAGCGUGGGGAGCGAACAGG
This 429-nucleotide ribosomal RNA is filed under the name Bacteroidota bacterium. Its description in RNAcentral is "Bacteroidetes bacterium partial 16S ribosomal RNA". It matches the Rfam family "Bacterial small subunit ribosomal RNA", at positions 355 to 776 of the family's 1533-position model. The record is from RNAcentral. Lineage: Bacteria; Pseudomonadati; Bacteroidota.